This 674-nucleotide ribosomal RNA is filed under the name Pantoea sp. RNAcentral describes it as "bacterial SSU rRNA". It matches the Rfam family "Bacterial small subunit ribosomal RNA", at positions 773 to 1447 of the family's 1533-position model. Lineage: Bacteria; Pseudomonadati; Pseudomonadota; Gammaproteobacteria; Enterobacterales; Erwiniaceae. The record is from RNAcentral.
CAGGAUUAGAUACCCUGGUAGUCCACGCCGUAAACGAUGUCGACUUGGAGGUUGUUCCCUUGAGGAGUGGCUUCCGGAGCUAACGCGUUAAGUCGACCGCCUGGGGAGUACGGCCGCAAGGUUAAAACUCAAAUGAAUUGACGGGGGCCCGCACAAGCGGUGGAGCAUGUGGUUUAAUUCGAUGCAACGCGAAGAACCUUACCUACUCUUGACAUCCAGAGAACUUUCCAGAGAUGGAUUGGUGCCUUCGGGAACUCUGAGACAGGUGCUGCAUGGCUGUCGUCAGCUCGUGUUGUGAAAUGUUGGGUUAAGUCCCGCAACGAGCGCAACCCUUAUCCUUUGUUGCCAGCGAUUCGGUCGGGAACUCAAAGGAGACUGCCGGUGAUAAACCGGAGGAAGGUGGGGAUGACGUCAAGUCAUCAUGGCCCUUACGAGUAGGGCUACACACGUGCUACAAUGGCGCAUACAAAGAGAAGCGACCUCGCGAGAGCAAGCGGACCUCACAAAGUGCGUCGUAGUCCGGAUCGGAGUCUGCAACUCGACUCCGUGAAGUCGGAAUCGCUAGUAAUCGUGGAUCAGAAUGCCACGGUGAAUACGUUCCCGGGCCUUGUACACACCGCCCGUCACACCAUGGGAGUGGGUUGCAAAAGAAGUAGGUAGCUUAACCUUCGGGA